AAGCUCGUAGUUGGAUUUCUGCUGGAAGCAGCCAGUCCGCCCUCAGGGGUGUGCACUUGGUGAAUUCUAGCAUCCUUCUGGAUUUCUCCACACUUCAUUGUGUGGAGUUUUUUCCAGGACUUUUACUUUGAGAAAAUUAGAGUGUUUCAAGCAGGCUUGUCGCCUUGAAUACUGCAGCAUGGAAUAAUAAGAUAGGAUUUCGGCCCUAUUUUGUUGGUUUCUAGGACUGAAGUAAUGAUUAAUAGGGACGGUUGGGGGCAUUCGUAUUUAACUGUCAGAGGUGAAAUUCUUAGAUUUGUUAAAGACGAACUACUGCGAAAGCAUUUGCCAAAGAUGUUUUCAUUAAUCAAGAACGAAAGUUAGGGGCUCGAAGACGAUCAGAUACCGUCGUAGUCUUAACCAUAAACUAUGCCGACUAGAGACAGGAAAACGUCAUGCUUGACUUCUCCUGCAC
RNAcentral lists this ribosomal RNA (454 nucleotides) under Toxoplasma gondii. RNAcentral's name for it is "SSU rRNA". It matches the Rfam family "Eukaryotic small subunit ribosomal RNA", at positions 624 to 1086 of the family's 1831-position model. The record is from RNAcentral. Lineage: Eukaryota; Apicomplexa; Conoidasida; Eucoccidiorida; Sarcocystidae.